Non-coding RNA from Struthio camelus australis, 2893 nucleotides. Lineage: Eukaryota; Metazoa; Chordata; Aves; Struthioniformes; Struthionidae. The record is from RefSeq and is a predicted model, not a curated record.
CAAGCCGGGGUGGGGGGAAUCUUUGCGCUUUUUGUGUGUGUGGUUUUUGUUUGUUCGUUUGUUUUUACCACAAGACGAGCUAUUCCAGCAGCAUAAAGUACUUGGUGCUAGUUAUACUGAAUGUUACUGUAUGGAACGCCUAGUCCAAGAAUAGCGAUAUCACCGUAGGACCUGUUUUCCGCAGCUUUCCUCGUUUCACUUCCCUCGUGCGCUCAACUGGUCAGCAGCAUGCCUUCUACGGGGGACACCUCAAAACUUUUCAUGGUCCUCAUUUUGUUGCUGCUUGUUCUGCCAGCGGUUGAAGCCAUGGACGCUGGAGAUACAAUUGCCUUCCUGCUGGGCCUCGCUGUCAGCAUUGUUGGAUUCUGUGCCUGUCUUGGCUUGUAUGCAAGGAAAAGAAAUGGACAGCAAUGAUUUCUAGAAGAUGCGCAAAUUAAGUGUAACUCAAAACUCUGCUAGGGUUGAGAUAUGGGGUUUAAAACUGAGCUUUGGUUUUGGAUAACUUUCAAAAAUGUGGAGUAGAUAAUUCUGCAAAGCCCUCUUACUGUGCAAUACAACAGAAUAAAGGCUGUUUGCCCAGUAAAAGGGAUUUGUAGGAUCCGUCCUCAUGACAGUAGGAUGAUUUCAUAUUGCCUGUGAUUAAUUGUAAGUAAGAACUUUUUGAAAGGGGAAGGAAAAUCAUAGACUGGUUCACAGCAAAUGUUUAUAAAUGGAAUGUGUGAGGGAGCCCGUGCAACAAGUUCCACAAUUUUGGUUUCAGGGUCAGUCAGGAGGAAGCAACUAUUAAUCUUCCAAUCAGGAUGACAAGGCUUUGGAGUACUGAAGUACUUACAAUUAGAUAAGUAAAGAGCAUGCUGCUCAGACCUGUUUGUGUGUGCUCACAUUCUUUGUAAUGACAGUUAGAACAAACCGCUAACAGCUCACUCUUGGUGUUACAGGGAUGAGACUUGGGAGAACUAAGAAAACAUGGAAAGCUUUUUACUUUGGUAUUUUUAUUUUAGAAUGUGCCUCUUCUGUAGCCUCUGUUCUUGUUACAAAAUAGUUGCACUUAAGAAUGGGACCGUGAUUUUCCUUUAACAUGUAUUGCAUAGGAGAGUAUAUGUAAAACUACAUAAAUCAAAAGAGGAAGGCAUUUUAUCUCUUUUGUUUAUUUUCUGUAUUCAACUUUCAUAUAAGCACACGAGGUCUAAGGGUUAGUUCAUUUGGUGUUUUUUGGUUUUUUUUCUCAAAACUGAAGACUUAGCUAUUUUACUAAGGUAUUAUGUGUGUUAUUUCUGCAGUAGGGGGUUAUUAGAAUUAUAACAAGGCAGUUAUGCACAUGUUCAAUAUGGUAAAUAAAUAAAACAACUUGUUUGGGUAAAAUCCUGAUUUUAGUGAAGAGGUCCCUGGUACUUGAAUGUCUUCCUCAUGACAAACUUAAGUUGUUAACUACAUUUAGGCUUCUUAUCUAAUUGAUAUGUCUGAGUUCCAUGGAAGAUUAGGACCAAAGACAAAGUAAAAAAUCAUGAUGCAAAAUGGGAGGCUCUUAAUAGCCUUGUUAUAUUCAUGCUCAGUCAGAUUGUCUGGCAUGAGCUGAUUUUGAUUUUAUGCUAUGUGGUUGAAAGGAUCUGCCUACUUAGUAGCAUGUCCAGGACCUGCUUCUUUUAGCACCAAAGGGGAAAUGGCACAGCCAAGAGUGUCUGUCUACCACAAAUCCUUCUGACUUCUUGGGGUGUUCUAGCUGUCAGUUUGAUAAAAGGAUCACAGUCUGUAAAAGCAAGUAAGUAGCAGCAGCAGAAUAAGGAGCCUAGGAAAGUAAGCUCUCCACAGUCCACAGAAUUUCCUUCUGAUCUUGUGCUGUGGGCACUGCACACUCAUGCUAGAAAUCUUCACUUUUAUAAGUUUCAGAGCUGGGGAAGAAGGUUAGAUAUGAUGCCAAAUAAUGUAUUUUGAUACUAUUUCCCCCCACCCUUUUCCCUAAGCGUCUCGGUCAUUAGAGCGCAAAGCAAUGGCUGAAACUCUUGUCCAGUAGGUCUUAAAUAAGUAAUUGGGGGGGAGGGAGGAGAUUGUAUUUGGACUUCCUCAAAUUCUAAGAUUUCUGUCUGUCAUUUGUAGCUGUUUUGGCUUCUCCCUCCAUCUUCUGGGGAGACAGAAGCCAUGGUUGUUUCAGCUCUGCAAUUUCUCUAAAUUACCAUGGCUGAUGGAGGAAGGUAAAUGGAGAGCUUCCAAAAUGUUGUGCGGUUGAAAGUGCAGGGCUCAACCCAUUUCCAUAAGAAUGUAGGUUGUGCUUCUCUGUUCCUGCUUCUCGAGCUGUAGGAAGUAUAGAGGUCCCAUGUUAGCCUUGCCAGGUAGCUGUCUGGAACCUUUUUGUGGCUUCCCCAAGCCAGAACAGGACAGUUGUUAUAGUGACAGAAAUUUACAGCCCUAAAAGGAGCUUCAAAGGGUAGGAGAAUGUCUCACCUUCAAAGGUUGCCCAGCAGCUAUAGGUGAAUCUAGAUGUGAUUAUUCUACGGGAUGGAUGCAAGCAUUGAAUGAAGAGAAGUACAUAUCGAGUAUGGCUUUCCAUCACCUGACCUUCUCAGCUCUUCUCAAACAUCUUUAUCUUCACUUUGGAAAAGAUCCCUGGUAAUAGUUGCACAGAAUUGUGCAAUGGCUUCACCCUAUAAAGCAGGAGAACAAAACCUUAUCACCCUAAUUAGUGUCAAGCUAUAGGGAUGUCAGCUGUGUUCCUUGCCUGAAGCUGUAUAUAUCUUAUUGAAAGGUGUUUGCACCCCAUAACGGUGUGUUUCCUGGGUUCUGACAGAAGUGAUUGUAUUGUUAAAGGCUUACAUUUUUUGAUAACUAAAAAGAAGUGUAACAUUAGAUAUCCCUGUUUUUCUUCUGUUUUAAUAAAUUUCCAUGUGUUUUGUCAUCA